RNAcentral lists this ribosomal RNA (468 nucleotides) under uncultured bacterium. RNAcentral describes it as "partial 16S ribosomal RNA". It matches the Rfam family "Bacterial small subunit ribosomal RNA", at positions 28 to 507 of the family's 1533-position model. The record is from RNAcentral.
GACGAACGCUGGCGGCGUGCUUAACACAUGCAAGUCGAACGGAAAGGCCCUGCUUUUGUGGGGUUCUCGAUUGCCGAACGGGUGAGUAACACGUGAGUAACCUCCCCUUGACUUUGGGAUAACUUCAGGAAACUGGGGCUAAUACCGGAUAGAAUCUCCUGCUGCAUGUUGGGGGUUGGAAAGUUUCGGCGGUUGGGGAUGGUCUCGCUGCUUAUGCGCUUGUUGGUGUGGUAGUGGCUUACCAAGGCUUUGACGGCUAGCCGGCCUGAGAGGGGUAACGGCGACAUGGGGACUGAGAGACGGCGCAGAAGCCAACGGGAGGCAGCAGUGGAGAAUAUGGCAGAAUGGGCGGAAGCCUGAGGCAGCAACGCCGCGUGCGGGAUGACGGCCUUCGGGUGGUAAACAGCUUUCGCAUGUGACGAAGCGUGAGUGACGGUAAUGGGUAAAGAAGCAACGGCUAACUACGUG